Camelus dromedarius (Arabian camel) is the source of this 869-nucleotide long non-coding RNA. RefSeq lists it as uncharacterized. The record is from RefSeq and is a predicted model, not a curated record. Lineage: Eukaryota; Metazoa; Chordata; Mammalia; Artiodactyla; Camelidae. The transcript is spliced from 3 exons.
UAACCCCCUAAACUGCAAAAUGAAUGAUUUCCUCCUCUCUGCACCUGGAGGGUCCAGGGCCGGUCUCAGCCUGCGUGAGUCCCUGCCGGGUCACAGCCCCGUAAUUGAGAGUCCCCAGCAGGCCAGUCCUCAGUAGACACUGCUCUGAAUGUCUGCGAGCCACCUGCCAGCGGACGUAUCAGGGCGGUGCCUUUUGAAGUCAUCUGACUGCUCAUCUCUGGGGAAUGCGUCAUCUAUUAGGUGGCGAGUUGAUGCCGGUGUCUAACACAGCACUCUGGAUGGGCUCACCCAGACCAGCGGGAGUUCUCAGCCCUGGCAGCCGGAGGGGAGCGUGGGGGUGCGCACAUCUCCUUGAGUCAGCUUGUGUCCCUGUCAUGCCGGUCAGCAGAGGGGUCCACACAAGCGGAAAGACGCACCAAAGACUCCCCUGCAGAGCAGCGAAAUGAAGGAUCCUCUCCGGUGGGAGUUAACAGCUUCAAAGCUAGAGACAGGAGGCGGCAGUCCUGGCUGCGAGCACUUAGGAACUGUCGGUAACAAAAGUGUGCUGAGCUGUGUCAGGAGGUGGCACACUAAAUCACAAACCAGCCUCAGGAUUUUUCAGAGCCUUUGAAGGAGCCAGUGUCCAGCGCAGAUCUUCAGGAGAGGAUGUAUUUUAACCCAGAUCCCUCCCCCAUCUACCUCUGAUUCCUCUUACGACGGGGAAGGAAGCCAGUUUCCACAGAAUGCUGCGGGGACCCCAGAGCCCAGGGAAAGGGCCGAGACUCGCAUUUCUAGAGCUGAUCGAGAAGGAAACCAUUUAUUGCAUUGGCUCCCGCCUAAAGGAUCGCACUGAGCCGCCUGCAGAGAGAGAAGUGUCUGGGGGCUCCUAG